RNAcentral lists this ribosomal RNA (229 nucleotides) under uncultured bacterium. RNAcentral describes it as "partial 16S ribosomal RNA". It matches the Rfam family "Bacterial small subunit ribosomal RNA", at positions 568 to 796 of the family's 1533-position model. The record is from RNAcentral.
UACGUAGGCGGAAAAUUAAGUCAGUGGUGAAAUCCUGCAGCUUGACUGUAGAACUGUCAUUGAUACUGGUUUUCUUGAAUACAGUUGAGGUAGGCGGAAUGUGUAAUGUAGCGGUGAAAUGCUUAGAUAUUACACAGAACACCGAUUGCGAAGGCAGCUUACUAAACUGUUAUUGACGCUGAGGUACGAAAGCGUGGGGAGCGAACAGGAUUAGAUACCCUGGUAGUCC